AUUGAACGCUGGCGGCAUGCUUUACACAUGCAAGUCGAACGGCAGCGCGGGCUUCGGCCUGGCGGCGCGUGGCGAACGGGUGAGUAAUACAUCGGAACGUGCCCAGUAGUGGGGGAUAGCUCGGCGAAAGCCGGAUUAAUACCGCAUACGACCUGAGGGUGAAAGCGGGGGAUCUUCGGACCUCGCGCUAUUGGAGCGGCCGAUGGCAGAUUAGCUAGUUGGUGGGGUAAAGGCCUACCAAGGCGACGAUCUGUAGCUGGUCUGAGAGGACGACCAGCCACACUGGGACUGAGACACGGCCCAGACUCCUACGGGAGGCAGCAGUGGGGAAUUUUGGACAAUGGGCGAAAGCCUGAUCCAGCAAUGCCGCGUGUGGGAUGAAGGCCUUCGGGUUGUAAAGCACUUUUGGCGGGAACGAAAAGGACUGUGCCAAUACCACGGUUCGAUGACGGUACCCGCAGAAUAAGCACCGGCUAACUACGUG
Molecule: ribosomal RNA, 484 nt
Filed under: uncultured bacterium
Lineage: Bacteria
Description: partial 16S ribosomal RNA
Rfam family: Bacterial small subunit ribosomal RNA
Source: RNAcentral